UACAGGGGGUGCAAGCGUUGCUCGGAAUUACUGGGCGUAAAGCGUACGCAGGCGGACCGUUAAGUCAGGAGUGGAAGCCCGGGGCUCAACCCCGGAAUUGCUUUUGAAACUGGCGGUCUUGAAUACGGGAGAGGUGAGUGGAAUUCCUGGUGUAGAGGUGAAAUGCGUAGAUAUCAGGAGGAACACCGGUGGUGUAAACGGCUUUCUGGACCAUAACUGACGCUGAUGCACGAAAGCGUGGGUAGCAAACAGG
This 253-nucleotide ribosomal RNA is filed under the name uncultured bacterium. RNAcentral's name for it is "partial 16S ribosomal RNA". It matches the Rfam family "Bacterial small subunit ribosomal RNA", at positions 524 to 776 of the family's 1533-position model. The record is from RNAcentral.